GAUGGGAGGGAGCCGAACACCCCAAGGAGCCGCCGCCGCCGCCGUCGCCCGGGAGACCGUACUGCGCUUGCGUGUGUCCCAAACGUUUGUCAAGAAGCGCCUCCGAGUUUGAGGACGAGCCCUAAAUGGAGUCCGACCGGGCCGCAAGACAAGACCCCGACCCUGGGCAACUGAAGAGCUCGCCGGAGGGCUUCCGCAGGCCGAGGGCGGGUCGCGGAUUACCGCCUCCAGAUGCCGCCUUCUCGCCUCUGCCCUGGGCUGUGGACUCCGCUCUGCGACCCGCGACUCUGCGCGCCAGACCCAUUGCUGUCGGGGCGCCCGCCCUUGGUGCCCACCCUUUCUGGGGUUCAUAGUUUAUACCCAGAUCCCACUACUGUUUUCGUUGAGUGCCAGUAGGCUCCCAUUUAGUGAGCAGUGGGUUUGUGUCAGCCAGUAUACUAAGGCGUUUACACAUCGCCGUCUUUAAAAACCUUGCAACUUUGGAAAUAGGGUUUAACAUCUCUUUUAUAGGUGGGUACAGCUGGGCAAACUAAACGACAGAACUGACGCAUCCAAGCUUACCAGGCCUCAGGUGGAGCACUUCUGUUCUGCCUCAAUAAGUUGUUUCAUCUCAUUAUUAUAAAAAAUUUCAAGCAGUACCCCCAAUAAAAUGGUAAUACACUGUAAUAUACUCCUCA
Molecule: long non-coding RNA, 677 nt
Organism: Tupaia belangeri chinensis (Chinese tree shrew)
Lineage: Eukaryota; Metazoa; Chordata; Mammalia; Scandentia; Tupaiidae
Exons: 2
Source: RefSeq, a predicted model, not a curated record